This 1242-nucleotide long non-coding RNA is filed under the name Vulpes vulpes (red fox). RNAcentral describes it as "lncRNA (ENSVVUG00000021343.1)". The record is from RNAcentral. Lineage: Eukaryota; Metazoa; Chordata; Mammalia; Carnivora; Canidae.
AUGAACUUGGGAAAAGAAAAAGGCUGUGCAGCUGUUCCCCAAUUCCUGUCCUCUCCAGGUGAAGCAAAAGACAGAGAUGAAAUCCAGGAUACACUAAACUCCAGUCUGUGCCAGUCUUCUGGAGAUGGCAAUCAGCUCCAGCAGGAAAGGCCGUUCUGCUCCAGCAAUAAGGCCAUUGAGGACCUGAGCCUACAGUCCAGAUCCCAGAGUCCCAUUAGCUUUGGGGAGAGCAUGCCAGACGAUGGCAGUGGGCGCCAUGGUUUCCCUGUGAAAGUGGGUGAAGGUGAAGUGGUAGAGACGCACAGCUGCCCUCAGAGUUAUGUUCCUCUCCCUACCUCUCUGGCCCAGUUCAGCCAGGUCAGUGAAGGCAUUCAGUGUGAUACGAGCCAGUGGCAGGAUGCAGAACACGAACAAUCUCCUGAGUCAUCACCAGAAAGCAGAAAGACAACAGAGGAAGGGGCAUUCAGGUGUGGGGAAUUGGAUGAGGUGGUGGUGAGGGACGGCUUCCCCAAGUAUGUUCCUAACCCCGCCUGGUUGGCCCAGAUGAACAGCAAGGGAGUAGAUGCGGGGAUUCAGUGUGAUGGCAGCUGGUGUCAGGAUGCAGAGCUGGAGAAAUCCCCUGAGCAAAUGCCUUCCAAAGAUGAGGAGUCCUCACCAGCCUGCAAAACUGAGGGCUCACAGGGAAAGACCAUCAGGACUGGGGAACUGAACACAGAUAAAGAAAUGACCAGGAAGGAUGAGACUGAGGAGGAGGAGCACGAGAACUUCAAGAAGUGUGCAGAUAUUCAAAAGUCUGUGACCAGCAUCAAGCAGACAUCCCUGAGCAACUUCUCAAGUGGGAGCACAGGCUAUUUAGUGAAGGAAAGUGCUGCCUCGAGCACUGUACUUCCCGAGGAUUCAGAAGACUGUGACUUCGAAGAGGAAGUUGAAGGUGAAAUGGAGGAGCUAGACUGCCUCUUUGAAGAUGUUAGUCCACUGGGCCCUGUGGCCUCUUCAAAAGGGCAGAUUUAUCACAAAGCUGGCAGGAUCAUCAGGAUGCCACCCGAGUGCUGUCUCCCUUCCCAACUUCUUGUGUGGCCCACCAGAAAUAAGAACAGGUUAAAGCAUGGAGAAUAUGAGAGCAUCCCUGUAGUGUGCAAAGUGACGGGACAGGAUGGCCAGUUCCGAGGGGAAUGUACCACGGCCAUGCAGAAGGGGUUGGAGUACAAGAGAGCCUCUCAUAAGUCCUGGGAACGUACAUGA